CAGUAGCCGCGGGAAUACAGAGGCCUCAAGCGUUGUUCGGAUUCAUUGGGCGUAAAGGGAGCGUAGGCGGUCGGGUAAGUUGGAUGUGAAAUCCUGGGGCUCAGCCUCAGAACUGCAUUCAAUACUGCUUGGCUAGAGUACUGGAGAGGUGAGUGGAAUUCACGGUGUAGCAGUGAAAUGCGUAGAUAUCGUGAGGAAGACCAGCGGCGAAGGCGGCUCACUGGACAGUUACUGACGCUGAUGCUCGAAGGCCAGGGGAGCAAACGGGAUUAGAUACCCCGGUAGUCCCUGUCUCUUAUAC
Molecule: ribosomal RNA, 301 nt
Filed under: uncultured bacterium
Lineage: Bacteria
Description: partial 16S ribosomal RNA
Rfam family: Bacterial small subunit ribosomal RNA
Source: RNAcentral